AUGGGACACGUCGGGUGCGUGGUAUGCGUGUGUGUGUCUGGCCAUGGUCCGACUAGUUCACAGUCUGGGCAUAGUCUGGCCUGUGUCCGACUAGUGUACAGGACAGGUCUGAGUUGCGUGUGUGCGUGCGUAGAUAGAGCAAGGGUGCGGGCGUGUGUGUGUCCGUGUCUGUUGUGGGCUCGGCGCGAUCCCCGUGCGUCGUGGGAACGGCCAGAGCGGGCCGGAUCAAGCGCUUGGACUGGGUGGGAGCAUGGGUCGUGCCCACUACUGGCCCUGGGUAUAAGACCCCUAUGGAGCUCGUUGUAA
Molecule: ribosomal RNA, 306 nt
Filed under: Triticum aestivum (bread wheat)
Lineage: Eukaryota; Viridiplantae; Streptophyta; Magnoliopsida; Poales; Poaceae
Description: partial small subunit ribosomal RNA
Source: RNAcentral